RNAcentral lists this long non-coding RNA (631 nucleotides) under Jatropha curcas. RNAcentral's name for it is "long non-coding RNA (JCUR_LNC002904)". Lineage: Eukaryota; Viridiplantae; Streptophyta; Magnoliopsida; Malpighiales; Euphorbiaceae. The record is from RNAcentral.
AAGGAGAAAGCAAAAUCAAAAUAGAAUAAUUUGCAAAGUUGUCUAUACAAGAUUUGAAAUGCUAGAUUCUUUGAUUCAUUAAUAACUGAGAUAACUUCUCUAGUAUAGAAACCGACCUAGAGAUUAUAGGCACAAGCUCUCAUUUCUUAACACUGAAACCUUCUCUCCUCUAUCUCUAUAUCCACUGAAGUGUAAGCUUUGCCUGCCAUCAACAGAUCUGAUGCGAUGAUUGAUGCUAUCACCUUGCAUAGGCAUAACCCUCUCUUUCUCUCAUUAUUUUUUAGAAUACUCAUAGCAAAAACUCGAGGAUAAUAUAGAGUGAAAGAUGGAUGAUUGUGGUAUAGAUAUCAGAGAGAGAAACAGUGAGAGGUGAAGUCAAAAGAAGCAAAGAUUGAAGGGGAUGGUAAAGAAAGAGAAAGUGCAUAUGGCAUUAUGUUCCGAUGUUCCAGUUGUGAGAUUGAAAAUAAAGAGGGCUGAUGUGACAGGAGAGAGAAUGUUAAUUGGGAGAGACAAAGAUGACUAAGCAUGAUUAAAUAGUAGAAAAAUUACUAUAAUAGAUGAUUGUGCUGUCCACUCAGCAUUCUGGUGGAGCUUUGCCAGAAAAUUAGUUGUAGGGAUUUUUCUAUUCCAC